RNAcentral lists this ribosomal RNA (506 nucleotides) under Litiopa melanostoma. Its description in RNAcentral is "partial 16S ribosomal RNA". It matches the Rfam family "Bacterial large subunit ribosomal RNA", at positions 1817 to 2600 of the family's 2925-position model. The record is from RNAcentral. Lineage: Eukaryota; Metazoa; Mollusca; Gastropoda; Litiopidae.
GGCUCUUUGUAUUAAUAGCAGAUAAAGAGUCGGACCUGCCCGGUGAAAAUUUUAACGGCCGCGGUACUCUGACCGUGCAAAGGUAGCGUAAUCAUUUGCCUUAUAAUUGAAGGCUGGUAUGAAUGGUUUGACGAGGGCAAUACUGUCUCUCUCUCAGUUAGUAGAACUUAACUUUCAGGUGAAGAGGCCUGAUAAAAAUUGAAGGACAAGAAGACCCUAUUGAGCUUGAAAAUGAAACUAGAUUUUUAUAUUUGAGAAAAUUUUAAACUAGUCAUUUUUUUGGUUGGGGCGACCGGGGAACAACAAAAGCUUCCCUUAUUUUUAAAACUUACAGGUAAAGAUCCAGUAUUACUGAUCAGAGAAAUUAGUUACCAUAGGGAUAACAGCAUAAUCUCCUUUGAGAGACCUAAUCGAAAAGGGGGGUUGUGACCUCGAUGUUGGACUAGAAUAUCCUAAAGGUGCAGAAGUCUUUGAGGGUUGGUCUGUUCGACCAUUAAAAUUCUACG